Molecule: ribosomal RNA, 253 nt
Filed under: uncultured bacterium
Lineage: Bacteria
Description: partial 16S ribosomal RNA
Rfam family: Bacterial small subunit ribosomal RNA
Source: RNAcentral
UACGUAGGGGGCAAGCGUUGUCCGGAAUCAUUGGGCGUAAAGAGCGUGUAGGCGGCUCGAUAAGUCUGCUGUGAAAGUCCAGGGCUCAACCCUGGAAGGCCGGUGGAAACUGUCGGGCUAGAGUCCGGAAGAGGCGAGUGGAAUUCCCGGUGUAGUGGUGAAAUGCGUAGAUAUCGGGAGGAACACCAGUGGCGAAGGCGACUUCCUGGCCUGUUCUUGACGCUGAGGCGCGAAAGCUAGGGGAGCAAACGGG